This 468-nucleotide ribosomal RNA is filed under the name uncultured bacterium. Its description in RNAcentral is "partial 16S ribosomal RNA". It matches the Rfam family "Bacterial small subunit ribosomal RNA", at positions 28 to 507 of the family's 1533-position model. The record is from RNAcentral.
GACGAACGCUGGCGGCGUGCUUAACACAUGCAAGCCGAACGGAAAGGCCCUGCUUUUGUGGGGUGCUCGAGUGGCGAACGGGUGAGUAACACGUGAGUAACCUGCCCUUGACUUUGGGAUAACUUCAGGAAACUGGGGCUAAUACCGGAUAGGAGCUCCUGCUGCAUGGUGGGGGUUGGAAAGUUUCGGCGGUUGGGGAUGGACUCGCGGCUUAUCAGCUUGUUGGUGGGGUAGUGGCUUACCAAGGCUUUGACGGGUAGCCGGCCUGAGAGGGUGACCGGCCACAUUGGGACUGAGAUACGGCCCAGACUCCUACGGGAGGCAGCAGUGGGGAAUAUUGCACAAUGGGCGGAAGCCUGAUGCAGCAACGCCGCGUGCGGGAUGACGGCCUUCGGGUUGUAAACCGCUUUCGCCUGUGACGAAGCGUGAGUGACAGUAAUGGGUAAAGAAGCACCGGCUAACUACGUG